AUAUCAAACACUCUUUAAAAUACUAAAUACAACAAUAAAAAAAUAAAAAUCCUUCUCAAAAAACUUACAUCCUAAUUAUAAAAAAAACAAAAAAUACAAAUAAUAACAAAAUAUAUACGCAUACACAUAUAUGCACACAAUAACAUACUAAAAAAUACUAUAAAAAAACACAAAACAAAUAUAUUUUAAAUAAAAUAAUUAAAAAAUAAAUAAUCA
RNAcentral lists this unclassified non-coding RNA (216 nucleotides) under Hevea brasiliensis (rubber tree). The record is from RNAcentral. Lineage: Eukaryota; Viridiplantae; Streptophyta; Magnoliopsida; Malpighiales; Euphorbiaceae.